Octodon degus (degu) is the source of this 323-nucleotide non-coding RNA. The record is from the annotation of a RefSeq genome assembly. NCBI's taxonomy places the organism in Eukaryota, Metazoa, Chordata, Mammalia, Rodentia, Octodontidae.
GUCUCUGUGGGCUGCCCGUGCUGACUCAGAAUCCCUUGGCCUCGGCCUCCCUGGGAGCCUCCAUCAAGCUCACCUGCACUCUCAGCAGUGAGCACAGCAGCUACUACAUUGAGUGGUAUCAGCAGAGGCCAGGGAGAAGCCCUCAGUAUGUAAUGCAUCUGAAGAGUGAUGGCAGCUCCAGCAAGGGAGACGGGAUCUCUGAUCGGUUCUCAGGCUCCAGCGCUGGUGCUGACCGCUACUUAACUAUCAGCAACCUUCACUCGGAUGAUGAGGCUCAGUAUUACUGUGGAGUGAGCCACUCAAUUGGUAGCGAGUUUGGGUAA